GCAGAUGCAGGAUAAGACCAAUCUCUUGGUCAGAGCUUGGACAUUUGUGCUACUUGUUCUUCCUCCUCUUCAAUCCAGUUUUGGCACUACACUGGAAUUAAUUUGGUUGUGUAGGCAUGAAAACCAACAUUUCUGGGCUAUAAAGAUGAGCUCCUUUCCCCUUUUUCUUCUUUAAUCUGGUCCAACGAAACCUCAUCUCCACUGCACCAACCAUUGUUGCUAAAGCAAGUGUUCUCUUUCCUUCAGCGGCGGGCACCAUCUUUCCACGCAUGAAAUGCCUGGCAAAGACGGCGACGACGAUGCCUGUCAGCGACACCACUUGAGAGCCAGGUGUUGCGCCAUCCAAAGGCGUUAAAGUGGAUUCCAACUCCUCCCUCAACCAUGGAUUGAAGUGCUCCAGUGGUGACUGUCGUGUCCUUCCCUUUCAUGGCCCAGUAACCAGGGUUCUCCCAGCUCCAAAGGAAGGCUUCUGCAAUGUGUCAAGCGUCAGCCUCUCCUGCGGGGUUACCUGAGAUUAAAGGUGGAGCAGCUCUUGUUGACUGGAUCAACAAUGGCUGUUCUAAUCCUAGAAUAAGUGACUUGAGUUGCACAUCCUCUUGGUAUGCAGCCAUAGGUUCAACUCCUAAGCCAUGAUGUGGUAGUAUGUUUUGGAUCUUUGGAAAUUUGCAGUGUGAUUUGGUGUCUUAGGGGAAUGAUACAUUUCUCAGUUCAUGACAUAUAUAGUUAUGAUA
This is a long non-coding RNA of Musa acuminata AAA Group (dessert banana), 731 nucleotides long. RefSeq lists it as uncharacterized. NCBI's taxonomy places the organism in Eukaryota, Viridiplantae, Streptophyta, Magnoliopsida, Zingiberales, Musaceae. The record is from RefSeq and is a predicted model, not a curated record. The transcript is spliced from 2 exons.